RNAcentral lists this ribosomal RNA (466 nucleotides) under uncultured bacterium. RNAcentral describes it as "partial 16S ribosomal RNA". It matches the Rfam family "Bacterial small subunit ribosomal RNA", at positions 28 to 507 of the family's 1533-position model. The record is from RNAcentral.
GAUGAACGCUGGCGGCGUGCUUAACACAUGCAAGUCGAACGAUGAAGCCCAGCUUGCUGGGUGGAUUAGUGGCGAACGGGUGAGUAACACGUGAGUAACCUGCCCUUGACUCUGGGAUAAGCCUGGGAAACUGGGGCUAAUACUGGAUAUGACUUCUCUUCGCAUGGUGGGGGGUGGAAAGAUUUAUUGGUCUUGGAUGGACUCGCGGCCUAUCAGCUUGUUGGUGAGGUAAUGGCUCACCAAGGCGACGGCGGGUAGCCGGCCUGAGAGGGUGACCGGCCACACGGGGACUGAGACACGGCCCAGACCCCUACGGGAGGCAGCAGUGGGGAAUAUUGCACAAUGGGCGCAAGCCUGAUGCAGCGACGCCGCGUGAGGGAUGACGGCCUUCGGGUUGUAAACCUCUUUCAGUAGGGAAGAAGCGAGAGUGACGGUACCUGCAGAAGAAGCGCCGGCUAACUACGUG